GAUGAAGAACGUAGCGAAUUGCGAUAUGUAAUGUGAAUUGCAGAAUUCAGUGAAUCAUCGAAUCUUUGAACGCACAUUGCGCCCGCCAGUAUUCUGGCGGGCAUGCCUGUCUGAGCGUCAUUUCAACCCUCAUGCCCCUAGGGCGUGGUGUUGGGGAUCGGCCAAAGCCCGCGAGGGACGGCCGGCCCCUAAAUCUAGUGGCGGACCCGUCGUGGCCUCCUCUGCGAAGUAGUGAUAUUCCGCAUCGGAGAGCGACGAGCCCCUGCCGUUAAACCCCCAACUUUCCAAGGUUGACCUCAGAUCAGGUAGGAAUACCCGCUGAACUUAAGCAUAUCAAUAAGCGGAGGA
RNAcentral lists this unclassified non-coding RNA (348 nucleotides) under soil metagenome. Its description in RNAcentral is "partial contains 5.8S ribosomal RNA, internal transcribed spacer 2, and large subunit ribosomal RNA". The stretch from base 1 to 120 matches the Rfam family "5.8S ribosomal RNA", at positions 35 to 154 of the family's 154-position model. The record is from RNAcentral.